GGGGCUAGCGUUGCUCGGAAUCACUGGGCGUAAAGCGCACGUAGGCGGAUUGCUAAGUCAGGGGUGAAAUCCUGGAGCUCAACUCCAGAACUGCCUUUGAUACUGGCGACCUUGAGUCCGGGAGAGGUGAGUGGAACUGCGAGUGUAGAGGUGAAAUUCGUAGAUAUUCGCAAGAACACCAGUGGCGAAGGCGGCUCACUGGCCCGGUACUGACGCUGAGGUGCGAAAGCGUGGGGAGCAAACAGG
RNAcentral lists this ribosomal RNA (246 nucleotides) under uncultured bacterium. RNAcentral's name for it is "partial 16S ribosomal RNA". It matches the Rfam family "Bacterial small subunit ribosomal RNA", at positions 531 to 776 of the family's 1533-position model. The record is from RNAcentral.